UACGGAGGGGGCUAGCGUUGUUCGGAAUGACUGGGCGUAAAGCGCGCGUAGGCGGAUCAGCAAGUCAGGGGUGAAAUCCCGGGGCUCAACCCUGGAAUGGCCUUUGAGACUGUUGGUCUUGAGUUCGAGAGAGGUGAGUGGAAUUCCGAGUGUAGAGGUGAAAUUCGUAGAUAUUCGGAGGAACACCAGUGGCGAAGGCGGCUCACUGGCUCGACACUGACGCUGAGGUGCGAAAGCGUGGGGAGCAAACAGG
This 253-nucleotide ribosomal RNA is filed under the name uncultured bacterium. RNAcentral describes it as "partial 16S ribosomal RNA". It matches the Rfam family "Bacterial small subunit ribosomal RNA", at positions 524 to 776 of the family's 1533-position model. The record is from RNAcentral.